This 490-nucleotide ribosomal RNA is filed under the name uncultured bacterium. Its description in RNAcentral is "partial 16S ribosomal RNA". It matches the Rfam family "Bacterial small subunit ribosomal RNA", at positions 30 to 507 of the family's 1533-position model. The record is from RNAcentral.
AUUGAACGCUGGCGGCAGGCCUAACACAUGCAAGUCGAACGGUAACAGGAAACAGCUUGCUGUUUCGCUGACGAGUGGCGGACGGGUGAGUAAUGUCUGGGAAACUGCCUGAUGGAGGGGGAUAACUACUGGAAACGGUAGCUAAUACCGCAUAACGUCGCAAGACCAAAGAGGGGGACCCUCGGGCCUCUUGCCAUCGGACGUGCCCAGAUGGGAUUAGCUUGUUGGUGGGGUAACGGCUCACCAAGGCGACGAUCCCUAGCUGGUCUGAGAGGAUGACCAGCCACACUGGAACUGAGACACGGUCCAGACUCCUACGGGAGGCAGCAGUGGGGAAUAUUGCACAAUGGGCGCAAGCCUGAUGCAGCCAUGCCGCGUGUAUGAAGAAGGCCUUCGGGUUGUAAAGUACUUUCAGCGGGGAGGAAGGGAGUAAAGUUAAUACCUUUGCUCAUUGACGUUACCCGCAGAAGAAGCACCGGCUAACUCCGUG